GGAGGGUGCAAGCGUUGUUCGGAUUCAUUGGGCGUAAAGGGGGUCUAGGCGGCACGGCAAGUCGGAUGUGAAAUCCCACGGCUCACCCGUGGAACUGCGUUCGAAACUGCCGUACUUGAGUAUGGGAGAGGAGAGUGGAAUUCUCAGUGUAGCGGUGGAAUGCGUAGAUAUUGAGAAGAACACCGGUGGCGAAGGCGACUCUCUGGCCCGAUACUGACGCUGAAGCCCGAAAGCCAGGGGAGCGAACGGGGGAUUAGAUACCCCGGUAGUCCUGGCCGUAAACGAUGUGCACUGGGUGUAGGAGGUAUCGACCCCCUUCUGUGCCGAAGCUAACGCAUUAAGUGCACCGCCUGGGGAUACGGUCGCAAGGCUG
Molecule: ribosomal RNA, 373 nt
Filed under: uncultured organism
Description: partial 16S ribosomal RNA
Rfam family: Bacterial small subunit ribosomal RNA
Source: RNAcentral